RNAcentral lists this ribosomal RNA (253 nucleotides) under uncultured bacterium. Its description in RNAcentral is "partial 16S ribosomal RNA". It matches the Rfam family "Bacterial small subunit ribosomal RNA", at positions 524 to 776 of the family's 1533-position model. The record is from RNAcentral.
UACGAAGGGUGCAAACGUUGUUCGGAAUUACUGGGCGUAAAGGGCUCGUAGGCGGCCAACUAAGUCAGAUGUGAAAUCCCCGGGCUUAACCUGGGAACUGCGUUUGUAACUGGCAAGCUAGAGUGUGGCAGAGGGGGGUGGAAUUCCAAGUGUAGCAGUGAAAUGCGUAGAUAUUUGGAGGAACACCAAUGGCGAAGGCAGCCCCCUGGGUUAACACUGACGCUCAUGCACGAAAGCGUGGGGAGCAAACAGG